UCGUAGUAUAAUAAUAAGAGAUAUAAUUAAAUGUUCAGUAAAUGUCUGAAUAAAAAGGAAGUGAGAAAUGUCUGAUUAUAUAGUGGGUGAGUUCAUAUGGAUGAUUAUUUAAGAAAUAGAAAACGAUCGAGUCGCGUGCGUUCAUGAUGUGAUAAUGCACGAGGGGAAUGUUCAGUGUGAGAAUACGAGAGAAGCGUGUAAAACACGAGAGGUAGCAUUAUCGCACAAUAAACACACGAGACGAGUUCUUUAUUUAUUUUACAAUAUAAGUAGAAGAUAUUACAUAGUAAACAAUUUUACUCAAAAGAUCGACAUUAAAAUUCUCCUAACAUGUACUCAGUGACGUCACGUGCAUGCUUUUUCUGGCGCUUGAAAUUUAGCUAAAGUUGCCGAAAAACUGUUUAAAAUACUGGAAAUAAUGUCAGUUAAAUUUUGUUCAAACUUCUGUAAGAAGUGCUUGUUAUCGUUUUCGAUUUAAAACUAGUCAGUUUUUGGGCUUGAACUUGAAUGUGCUUUAGCUGUUCAAUUUUCCAUUGCGUAAUAUAUUCUGAAUGCGUAAUGAGAUAACUUUUGUGGUCCCACAGAUCGGAAAUUUAAAUAAAA
Molecule: non-coding RNA, 603 nt
Organism: Paramuricea clavata
Lineage: Eukaryota; Metazoa; Cnidaria; Anthozoa; Malacalcyonacea; Plexauridae
Source: the annotation of a GenBank genome assembly